Molecule: non-coding RNA, 1569 nt
Organism: Megalobrama amblycephala (Wuchang bream)
Lineage: Eukaryota; Metazoa; Chordata; Actinopteri; Cypriniformes; Xenocyprididae
Source: the annotation of a RefSeq genome assembly
CGUGUGUUUUACUCCAGCAGGGUUUUUGCUCAGAGAGUCACUUUGCAUCGGCUCAUGCUUCAGCGCUCCGAGUGUUUAUAGCGUUCAGACUCAAACACUUUAUAACACACUGCUGUUUACCACGGUACAAACCCAACAAACACCAUGAAUCUCUUCAGCAGCUUCAUCUGGAUUCUGGCAGCUUUUAUUCCAGCAUCCAGAGGAAUCACUGUGACUCAGCCUGAAGCUGUGACUGUUUCUGAAGGACAAAACGCCAAAAUAGAGUGUAAAACUGAUCCUGGGAUAUAUAGCUGGGGUUUAGCUUGGUAUCAGCAGAAACAUGGAGAAGCUCCUAAACUCAUCAUUACUGGGGUAAAUGAUCGAUAUGGUACCAUUUCCAGUCGAUUCAGUGGAAAUGGAGCACGAGGUGGGACAGAUUUCACUCUGACCAUCAGUGGAGUCCAGACUGAAGAUGCUGGACAUUAUUACUGUCAGAGUUACCAUGAAAUCAACAGUCAAUAUGUGUUCACACAGUGAUAAAGAGUCGUACAAAAACCUCCGUCAGUCAGAGUCACAGUGACUGAACUGAUACUGCAGCUGCUCACACACUUUCACACACUUUCACACACUUUCACACACACUCAACAGUGAAGAAAAACUCAGUAUGAUCUUAUUGAACAUCAUAUUUGUUGAGCUGAAUCAAUUUUUUACCUUUUUGAUUGUGAUUUUUCAAAAGUCAUUUUUGUCUCCUGUUAUCCUAUUACAUUCUUUGAAAUUCAGUCACUUUUGAUCUUCACUUCAGUGGAUAUUUUUCCAGUCUUCCCUUUACAUUUUUUGAUUUUCUGCAUUUAUAAUUUAUCUUUAUUCUUCUUUCGAAACUGAAUCAUCAUCAGCGUCAUAAACAUGUUCUGCUUGAUCAGUUUAAUAAGUCUAUUGAUUUAUUGAUUUAUUAAGUUCAUCCCUCAUAAUGCAGAUAUUAACAGCAUCAUAUAAACACAUUCCUCAACUUCAGAGCAGAUGAUAAUGAAUAGAAUUGAUAUAAAUAUCUAUGUAUGGAAGAAUUAACAAUGAUAUAAAAAAUAAUUUUAAAAUUAAAGACCAGAUAUAUGCAUGUCACCAUAUAUUUUUACAUUUAUUUCAUAAAUAUUUCUAAAAGUGAAGAUGUUUCUAUCAUGUGACUCACAAUCAAACUCAGUUGAUUCAGUGAUUGACAGAGACUUGUGUGUGAUGAUCCUCAUGUCUGUUCAGAAACUGCAGGAACACACAUGGAUUUGGUGUAAAUUUGGCCAUUAACAGUGAUGUUUCAAUCCAACUACAGUAAAAAAUAUAAUUAAAGUCUCACAGAUUCAGGUUAAUAUACUAAAUCUUGCAGAUUUAUUCUGGACUGAAUGAUCUAAUACAAUUUACAACAUGUUGGCUAUUAGAAGGAUUAUUUUUAAUCUAUAUAUUCACUUCACUUCAGUAAUUGUAUUUUGUGUCUGUUAAUGAGUGACUGUCUUCAGGUAAAUGAUCUGGAGUGUGUUUGCAUAUUGAUCAGAUGCUUCAGUGCUCUGAGAGUGUUUAUAGUGCUGUGAGUUUAACACUUCAUCA